This 522-nucleotide ribosomal RNA is filed under the name uncultured microeukaryote. RNAcentral describes it as "SSU rRNA". It matches the Rfam family "Eukaryotic small subunit ribosomal RNA", at positions 21 to 549 of the family's 1831-position model. The record is from RNAcentral.
UAGUCAUAUGCUUGUCUCAAAGACUAAGCCAUGCAUGUCUAAGUAUAAGUAUUAUACAGCGAAACUGCGAAUGGCUCAUUAAAACAGUUAUAGUUUAUUUGAUAAUCGAAUUUACAUGGAUAACCGUGGUAAUUCUAGAGCUAAUACAUGCUGGUGUGCCCAACUUUUAGGAAGGGCGGUAUUUAUUAGAUAACAAGCCAAUAUUCCUCUGGUCUAUUGUGGUGACUCAUAAUAACUGAUCGAAUCGCAAGGCCUAUGGCCGCGAUAAGUCAUUCAAGUUUCUGCCCCAUCAGCUUUCGAUGGUAGUGUAUUGGACUACCAUGGCGUUUACGGGUAACGGAGGAUUAGGGUUCGAUUCCGGAGAGGGAGCCUGAGAAACGGCUACCACAUCUAAGGAAGGCAGCAGGCGCGUAAAUUACCCAAUCCUGACUCAGGGAGGUAGUGACAAGAAAUAACGGACCGAGGCCUACGGGCUUCGGGAUUGCAAUGAGCCGAAUUUACACCCCUUAGCGAGGAUCAAUU